GAUGAAGAACGCAGCGAAAUGCGAUAAGUAAUGUGAAUUGCAGAAUUCAGUGAAUCAUCGAAUCUUUGAACGCACAUUGCGCCCCCUGGUAUUCCGGGGGGCAUGCCUGUCCGAGCGUCAUUGCUGCCCUCAAGCCCGGCUUGUGUGUUGGGUCUCGUCCCCCUUCCCGGGGGGACGGGCCCGAAAGGCAGCGGCGGCACCGCGUCCGGUCCUCGAGCGUAUGGGGCUUUGUCACCCGCUCUGUAGGCCCGGCCGGCGCUUGCCGAUCAACCAAAACUUUUUUCCAGGUUGACCUCGGAUCAGGUAGGGAUACCCGCUGAACUUAAGCAUAUCAAUAAGCGGAGGA
RNAcentral lists this unclassified non-coding RNA (346 nucleotides) under soil metagenome. Its description in RNAcentral is "partial contains 5.8S ribosomal RNA, internal transcribed spacer 2, and large subunit ribosomal RNA". The stretch from base 1 to 120 matches the Rfam family "5.8S ribosomal RNA", at positions 35 to 154 of the family's 154-position model. The record is from RNAcentral.